CCUGGUUCAUUUUUAAGUCAUGAAGUACUUAAAUGCUGUAAUGAAACGCAACCACGAGCUCUUGUCCUGUAGUUUCAAACAUCUCAUAUCAGUUUUAUUUAGAAAAUGUAUCAGAACUCAUCAUAUUAAGGUUCUGGAAUAUUUUUGUUAAUUUAAAAUCAAUAAAAUUGUGCUCAUCUUUGUAAAACCGCAGAAGUCUUGUUUUGUUUUUGUUUUUUAAUAGAAAAAACGUGUUGAAGUCUGUGCAUAAUCAUCCUCUGCCUCAUCGUAUUUGUUCAACAGGGAGAUAAAGUGAGAAGGGCGUGUGAUGAAGAGGAGGGGUUACAGAUUGGGAGGGUGUGGGUUGCAGACGGAGCAGUCGUGGGGUUGGCUGAAUCGUGAUAGUGACAGAUGUCCAAAGCAUCGCGAGGGGCACUCCUCAGUUGCACCACACCGCAGCACGGAGAGGAGGGCCGGAUUCAUCUGCACCAAAACCCUGCUUUACCACCCAGCCAGACUCUGGGAAGGAAAUCCGGUUCUCUUUACCUAGAAACACCAUGGGAGGCAAACUGAGCAAGAAAAGAAAAGGAUAUGAUAUUCCCCGUGGUCAGGAUAUUUUGCUGGUCUGCUGACACAUGCAACUCACAAACACCUAC
This 635-nucleotide long non-coding RNA is filed under the name Oryzias sinensis (Chinese medaka). RNAcentral describes it as "lncRNA (ENSOSIG00000004539.1)". The record is from RNAcentral. Lineage: Eukaryota; Metazoa; Chordata; Actinopteri; Beloniformes; Adrianichthyidae.